AUGCAAGACUACCCCGCGGACAAUCCUACCUAUCAGCCGCACCUCUUCCGGAGAAGGUAUCGAAUACGCUGAUCCCUCUUCAUAAAAAUAGUGCAAGCUUGUGAGGCCAGUUGUCGGGUUUUUACUCAAAGGAGAAACGCCGCAGGCUUGUUGGGUUUUAGCGCAUAUCAAAAAAUCUCGGCAGCUAUGCGGGUGAUUGCGUAUGGCAUUCCGGCUGACUAUGCCGACGGGUAUCUUCAUAGUGACAAAGAUACUACAUUUGAGUCGGUACGUAGGUCACCAAGGUGA
Molecule: ribosomal RNA, 288 nt
Filed under: Triticum aestivum (bread wheat)
Lineage: Eukaryota; Viridiplantae; Streptophyta; Magnoliopsida; Poales; Poaceae
Description: partial small subunit ribosomal RNA
Source: RNAcentral